GACGAACGCUGGCGGCGUGCUUAACACAUGCAAGUCGAACGGAAAGGCCCUGCUUUUGUGGGGUGCUCGAGUGGCGAACGGGUGAGUAACACGUGAGUAACCUGCCCUUGACUUUGGGAUAACUUCAGGAAACUGGGGCUAAUACCGGAUAGGAGCUCCUGCUGCAUGGUGGGGGUUGGAAAGUUUCGGCGGUUGGGGAUGGACUCGCGGCUUAUCAGCUUGUUGGUGGGGUAGUGGCUUACCAAGGCUUUGACGGGUAGCCGGCCUGAGAGGGUGACCGGCCACAUUGGGACUGAGAUGCGGCCCAGACUCCUACGGGAGGCAGCAGUGGGGAAUAUUGCACAAUGGGCGGAAGCCGGAUGCAGCAACGCCGCGUGCGGGAUGACGGCCUUCGGGUUGUAAACCGCUUUCGCCUGUGACGAAGCGUGAGUGACGGUAAUGGGUAAAGAAGCACCGGCUAACUACGG
Molecule: ribosomal RNA, 467 nt
Filed under: uncultured bacterium
Lineage: Bacteria
Description: partial 16S ribosomal RNA
Rfam family: Bacterial small subunit ribosomal RNA
Source: RNAcentral